GAUGAACGCUGGCGGCGUGCCUAAUACAUGCAAGUCGAGCGAACGGACGAGAAGCUUGCUUCUCUGAUGUUAGCGGCGGACGGGUGAGUAACACGUGGAUAACCUACCUAUAAGACUGGGAUAACUUCGGGAAACCGGAGCUAAUACCGGAUAAUAUUUUGAACCGCAUGGUUCAAAAGUGAAAGACGGUCUUGCUGUCACUUAUAGAUGGAUCCGCGCUGCAUUAGCUAGUUGGUAAGGUAACGGCUUACCAAGGCAACGAUGCAUAGCCGACCUGAGAGGGUGAUCGGCCACACUGGAACUGAGACACGGUCCAGACUCCUACGGGAGGCAGCAGUAGGGAAUCUUCCGCAAUGGGCGAAAGCCUGACGGAGCAACGCCGCGUGAGUGAUGAAGGUCUUCGGAUCGUAAAACUCUGUUAUUAGGGAAGAACAUAUGUGUAAGUAACUGUGCACAUCUUGACGGUACCUAAUCAGAAAGCCACGGCUAACUACGUGCCAGCAGCCGCGGUAAUACGUAGGUGGCAAGCGUUAUCCGGAAUUAUUGGGCGUAAAGCGCGCGUAGGCGGUUUUUUAAGUCUGAUGUGAAAGCCCACGGCUCAACCGUGGAGGGUCAUUGGAAACUGGAAAACUUGAGUGCAGAAGAGGAAAGUGGAAUUCCAUGUGUAGCGGUGAAAUGCGCAGAGAUAUGGAGGAACACCAGUGGCGAAGGCGACUUUCUGGUCUGUAACUGACGCUGAUGUGCGAAAGCGUGGGGAUCAAACAGGAUUAGAUACCCUGGUAGUCCACGCCGUAAACGAUGAGUGCUAAGUGUUAGGGGGGUUUCCGCCCCUUAGUGCUGCAGCUAACGCAUUAAGCACUCCGCCUGGGGAGUACGACCGCAAGGUUGAAACUCAAAGGAAUUGACGGGGACCCGCACAAGCGGUGGAGCAUGUGGUUUAAUUCGAAGCAACGCGAAGAACCUUACCAAAUCUUGACAUCCUUUGACAACUCUAGAGAUAGAGCCUUCCCCUUCGGGGGACAAAGUGACAGGUGGUGCAUGGUUGUCGUCAGCUCGUGUCGUGAGAUGUUGGGUUAAGUCCCGCAACGAGCGCAACCCUUAAGCUUAGUUGCCAUCAUUAAGUUGGGCACUCUAAGUUGACUGCCGGUGACAAACCGGAGGAAGGUGGGGAUGACGUCAAAUCAUCAUGCCCCUUAUGAUUUGGGCUACACACGUGCUACAAUGGACAAUACAAAGGGCAGCGAAACCGCGAGGUCAAGCAAAUCCCAUAAAGUUGUUCUCAGUUCGGAUUGUAGUCUGCAACUCGACUACAUGAAGCUGGAAUCGCUAGUAAUCGUAGAUCAGCAUGCUACGGUGAAUACGUUCCCGGGUCU
RNAcentral lists this ribosomal RNA (1373 nucleotides) under uncultured bacterium. RNAcentral describes it as "bacterial SSU rRNA". It matches the Rfam family "Bacterial small subunit ribosomal RNA", at positions 28 to 1381 of the family's 1533-position model. The record is from RNAcentral.